UUGUGAAGUUAGAGGAGGUCUGACACCUCCAAUGCCAUGCCAUUUUUACAUAUGGUAUGUGAGGUUUGUGUGUCCAUUGCAAUGGAUUAUGGAAGGAUUAUGGAACCCAAGAGAGAAGUAGAGACUGCCAUGGGAGAGACAGCUGGUGUCAGGUUUCCAGACAAGACCUGACAGCUAAUGAAGUGAUGAAGAUAUAAAAGAGAGAAGUAAGC
Molecule: long non-coding RNA, 212 nt
Organism: Trichechus manatus latirostris (Florida manatee)
Lineage: Eukaryota; Metazoa; Chordata; Mammalia; Sirenia; Trichechidae
Exons: 3
Source: RefSeq, a predicted model, not a curated record